RNAcentral lists this ribosomal RNA (394 nucleotides) under uncultured bacterium. Its description in RNAcentral is "bacterial SSU rRNA". It matches the Rfam family "Bacterial small subunit ribosomal RNA", at positions 29 to 428 of the family's 1533-position model. The record is from RNAcentral.
AUUGAACGCUGGCGGCAUGCCUUACACAUGCAAGUCGAACGGUAACGCGGGGCAACCUGGCGACGAGUGGCGAACGGGUGAGUAAUAUAUCGGAACGUGCCCAGUAGCGGGGGAUAGCCCGGCGAAAGCCGGAUUAAUACCGCAUGAGACCUGAGGGUGAAAGCGGGGGAUCGCAAGACCUCGCGCUAUUGGAGCGGCCGAUAUCAGAUUAGGUAGUUGGUGGGGUAAAGGCCUACCAAGCCGACGAUCUGUAGCUGGUCUGAGAGGACGACCAGCCACACUGGGACUGAGACACGGCCCAGACUCCUACGGGAGGCAGCAGUGGGGAAUUUUGGACAAUGGGCGCAAGCCUGAUCCAGCCAUGCCGCGUGCGGGAAGAAGGCCUCGGUUGUAA